UACGGAGGGUGCAAGCGUUAUCCGGAUUUACUGGGUUUAAAGGGUGCGUAGGUGGGUAAGUAAGUCAGUGGUGAAAUCUCCGAGCUUAACUCGGAAACUGCCAUUGAUACUAUUUAUCUUGAAUUUUCUGGAGGUGAGCGGAAUAUGUCAUGUAGCGGUGAAAUGCUUAGAUAUGACAUAGAACACCAAUUGCGAAGGCAGCUCACUACGGGAACAUUGACACUGAGGCACGAAAGCGUGGGGAUCAAACAGG
This 253-nucleotide ribosomal RNA is filed under the name uncultured prokaryote. RNAcentral describes it as "partial 16S ribosomal RNA". It matches the Rfam family "Bacterial small subunit ribosomal RNA", at positions 524 to 776 of the family's 1533-position model. The record is from RNAcentral.